CUACGGGGGGCAGCAGUGAGGAAUAUUGCACAAUGGGGGGAACCCUGAUGCAGCAACGCCGCGUGGAGGAUGACGCAUUUCGGUGUGUAAACUCCUUUUAUAUGUCAAGAAAAUGACGGUAGCAUAUGAAUAAGCACCGGCUAACUCCGUGCCAGCAGCCGCGGUAAUAGGGAGGGUGCAAGCGUUACUCGGAAUCACUGGGCGUAAAGGACGCGUAGGCGGGUUGGAAAGUCAGGUGUGAAAUCCUACAGCUUAACUGUAGAACUGCACUUGAAACUUCUAAUCUAGAGUAUGGGAGGGGGAGGUGGAAUUAGUGGUGUAGGGGUAAAAUCCGUAGAUAUCACUAGGAAUACCUAAAGCGAAGGCGAUCUCCUGGAACAUUACUGACGCUAAGGCGUGAAAGCGUGGGGAGCAAACAGGAUUAGAUACCCCGGUAGUC
This 439-nucleotide ribosomal RNA is filed under the name uncultured bacterium. RNAcentral describes it as "partial 16S ribosomal RNA". It matches the Rfam family "Bacterial small subunit ribosomal RNA", at positions 339 to 795 of the family's 1533-position model. The record is from RNAcentral.